GACGAACGCUGGCGGCGUGCUUAACACAUGCAAGUCGAACGGAAAGGCCCUGCUUUUGUGGGGUGCUCGAGUGGCGAACGGGUGAGUAACACGUGAGUAACCUGCCCUUGACUUUGGGAUAACUUCAGGAAACUGGGGCUAAUACCGGAUAGGAGCUCCUGCUGCAUGGUGGGGGUUGGAAAGUUUCGGCGGUUGGGGAUGGACUCGCGGCUUAUCAGCUUGUUGGUGGGGUAGUGGCUUACCAAGGCUUUGACGGGUAGGCGGCCUGAGAGGGUGACCGGGCACAAUGGGACUGAGAUACGGCCCAGACUCCUACGGGAGGCAGCAGUGGGGAAUAUUGCACAAUGGGCGGAAGCCUGAUGCAGCAACGCCGCGUGCGGGAUGACGGCCUUCGGGUUGUAAACCGCUUUCGCCUGUGACGAAGCGUGAGUGACGGUAAUGGGUAAAGAAGCACCGGCUAACUACGUG
RNAcentral lists this ribosomal RNA (468 nucleotides) under uncultured bacterium. Its description in RNAcentral is "partial 16S ribosomal RNA". It matches the Rfam family "Bacterial small subunit ribosomal RNA", at positions 28 to 507 of the family's 1533-position model. The record is from RNAcentral.